Molecule: ribosomal RNA, 253 nt
Filed under: uncultured bacterium
Lineage: Bacteria
Description: partial 16S ribosomal RNA
Rfam family: Bacterial small subunit ribosomal RNA
Source: RNAcentral
UACGGAGGGGACUAGCGUUGUUCGGAAUUACUGGGCGUAAAGCGCACGUAGGCGGAUUUGUAAGUCAGGGGUGAAAUCCCGAGGCUCAACCUCGGAACUGCCUUUGAUACUGCGAAUCUCGAGUCCGGAAGAGGUGAGUGGAAUUCCUAGUGUAGAGGUGAAAUUCGUAGAUAUUAGGAAGAACACCAGUGGCGAAGGCGGCUCACUGGUCCGGUACUGACGCUGAGGCGCGAAAGCGCGGGGAGCAAACAGG